GGGACCGCCGGCAACAGUUGCAUAACUGUAGAACAAAAAGAAUUCACCCCUGCUACUAGAAUUAUCAGUAAGAUGCCCAAAGGUAUCGAGAUCAGUGCCCCAGAAUACAUAUGGGAAAAGCAUUGCAACUUUAUUUAAUAAUCCAAAUCCCAAUCUUUUUAUUCCGUCGAGCUUCCGCUGAGGCAAUUCUGGCAUGAACUUAAUAGAACCACCUUUCAGAACUCCAAGAGGAACAGUGCACAGCACCAUAUCUCCCUCAAAUACUUGGGCCCCAGCGCCAACCUGUACUCCAUCGGUACCAUAACGAAUGGUAUGCACAAUUUUUUCAUAAAGAAUAGGUACAUUUUCCGACAAUGCAUGAACUAGUUUUCCGUUUCCUCCGGGCAGGAAGCAAUGAUCCCCUCCCAUGUCAAAAGGGUCAUCUUGGUCCCAAAAUGCUAAUGAAAGUUUAGAAAUCAGACCUGCAUUUGCAUAUUCUAGAUUUGCUAGAUGCCAG
This 496-nucleotide unclassified non-coding RNA is filed under the name Hevea brasiliensis (rubber tree). The record is from RNAcentral. Lineage: Eukaryota; Viridiplantae; Streptophyta; Magnoliopsida; Malpighiales; Euphorbiaceae.